UGAACGGUCCCUUACUAAAUAAACGGCAGCAAUAAGGCUAAGAACUAAAACGCUGCAUAAUAAAUAGGUGAACGACAUAAAUCAUGUUCAUGAAAAAUAGUCACUUGGAUGUAAGCGUCCUCGUUGUUGUCCAUCUGUUGAGAACGCAAAAGUUUACAACACGAAAACAGACAAAAAUAUUGACUUUCGAGGGCCACGUUUCCGAUCAGGAACUAGCAUUUCGCUUACUUGAAUAUCCUGUCCCAAACUUCUAAACGUUCUAACCCCAAUAGUCCUCCGUCCUACGGACAUCGCAUUAAAAAUAAGUUUACGUAAUCCUUUUUUUGGGAGGUAGGGAGGGUGGAAUGAGGAAGAGAUUUCACUUUCUCCAAACUUUCAAGCAGCCAGUGCUUUUUUUCCUGCUGAAAGUCAGAUUUUUGAAUAAAAGAUGAACUGCUUUUUAUACGCUCGAGGUGAAACAUUAAUUUUGAACGAAAGACGCCGUUUUAAAAUAGUGAGUGGAACUCCCUUGCCGCUUCAAAAAUCUCAUCGCAUAUUUACUUUAUUAGCACGUGUCGGCAACACAGACGACAGAAAGUUUAAGCAUGGUAUGUAAUAAGAAAACAAGCAUGUUCUUCAACAGUGUAAUUGUGACUUAAAUUGCGAACGAAAACUGAAACAUGAGGAAAAAUGAGACGUGCCUAUUGUGUAGCAGUGACAGAUGCUGUUGGACGCAAAAGUAACACUGUAUUUCAUGCCAGAAAAUAAGCGAUAGGGCUGUACAAGCUGAAGGAAAUUUCAAAUGUCAGUAUAGCUACUACAGACUGAAAACGUGAAAUAACUACUCACUCUAUAUCCUUAAUAAGAUGCAUAUUUUGUAUUACGUGUAUAAAUAAAAAGCACUCCGUGGCCAGUCGAAACUGAAAGCGUAUGCGGGGCCAUGGCUCGAAAGUCUGAUAGCUUGCGUGUCAUUGUUAUUUUGAAGGUGCCUCCGUUUUAGCUGCUAGAGGCUAGAAAUUUGAAUUUCUUUCUGAUUUGAAUAUCUCAACGAAUGACAAACUCCUUGAAGUACUUGUUGUGAUCUGACAAGCUGUACCAGGUUUUUAGAGUUUUUUUUUCUCCCACAUUCCUAAAGGAAAUUAGUGCGAUCAAGUAAACGAUUCAUCUUUGGACUAUAUCGUACUUAGAAGGGGCAAGGAACUCUUGAAACAGUAAGUUUAAGCAUUGUUUGUCUUGCGUCAUACAUAUUACGUUUAAUACUGUAACAAUGAAGGGAUAAUUUUAAUGUUCAGUGUAAAAAAAUACGCUUUAGAAAGCAGUCCUCGAUGACUUUCAGUUUCAUGUGCGCUGAUCUUCGUCUGUGGUUUUUCUUGCUUGUGUUCAUUUUGUUUGUGACUAUCAAUUUCGCACGGCUGUCUUAGCUUCUGAUUAGCAGCGACAUGUGUCUAUCUUUGUGUGUGACCCACAGCCUUGGGCGUUUUUACCAGUGAUCUUCAGAUUUCCGCGUUUAGUUUUGUCUCUGAAUUGGACGUUUUACGCCUAUCUUUGUCUGUGAAAAAGACUUUUAGUUUUGCGUGUUCCUGUAGAUCUGGGGCUUUCAGUUUUUUUCUGCCCUAUCUUGGUCUUGACAUCGUGCUUCUAUAUCAGCUUGGAGUUUUAUGCAAAAACAGACUUAUAAAAUAUUACUGGAUGAGGUUUAUGUGAUAUCCAGAAUAAUCAAGGUCGAGUUAGGGGUUAUCACAUAAACCGAAUCUACUAAUUGUGAGUUUAAUGUAUAACAAUUAAAGGAAUACACGUCUUGAAUAAAUUUUUUGAAGGUUUUC
This is a long non-coding RNA of Orbicella faveolata, 1802 nucleotides long. NCBI's taxonomy places the organism in Eukaryota, Metazoa, Cnidaria, Anthozoa, Scleractinia, Merulinidae. The record is from RefSeq and is a predicted model, not a curated record.